AAAGCGUGCGCAGGCGGUUUGUAAGACUGUCGUGAAAUCCCCGGGCUCAACCUGGGAAUGGCGAUGGUGACUGCAAGGCUAGAGUUUGGCAGGAGGGGGGUAGAAUUCCACGUGUAGCAGUGAAAUGCGUAGAUAUGUGGAGGAACACCGAUGGCGAAGGCACGCCCCCUGGGUCAAAACUGACGCUCAUGCACGAAAGCGUGGGGAGCAAACAGGAUUAGAUCCCGAGU
Molecule: ribosomal RNA, 230 nt
Filed under: uncultured bacterium
Lineage: Bacteria
Description: partial 16S ribosomal RNA
Rfam family: Bacterial small subunit ribosomal RNA
Source: RNAcentral